RNAcentral lists this ribosomal RNA (404 nucleotides) under Fusobacteriota bacterium. RNAcentral's name for it is "Fusobacteria bacterium partial 16S ribosomal RNA". It matches the Rfam family "Bacterial small subunit ribosomal RNA", at positions 355 to 776 of the family's 1533-position model. Lineage: Bacteria; Fusobacteriati; Fusobacteriota. The record is from RNAcentral.
UGGGGAAUAUUGCACAAUGGAGGGAACUCUGAUGCAGCGACGCCGCGUGAGUGAUGAAGGACUUCGUUUCGUAAAACUCUGUUCUAUGGGAAGAAAAGGACUGUACCAUAGGAGAAAGCUCCGGCUAAAUACGUGCCAGCAGCCGCGGUAAUACGUAUGGAGCGAGCGUUGUCCGGAAUUAUUGGGCGUAAAGGGUGCGCAGGCGGCUUUACAAGUUGGAGGUGAAAUAUUGUGGCUCAACCACAAACGUGCAUCCAAAACUGCAAAGCUUGAGUGAAGGAGAGGUAAGUGGAAUUCCUGGUGGAGCGGUGGAAUGCGUAGAUAUCAGGAGGAAUACCGGUGGAGAAGGCGACUUACGGGACUUAAACUGACGCUCAGGCACGAAAGCGUGGGGAGCAAGCAGG